ACUCGCCCAGCUCUGCAUGGUUACACUUGUCCUCACUCGUGUGACUUUCAUAAUGUGGAGAGAGAGAAAAGUUCUCCUCAGGCUGUCAGCUUGGCUUUACAGUGGCCCCUUUCCUUGAGGGGUCCAACAGGG
Molecule: small nucleolar RNA, 132 nt
Organism: Otolemur garnettii (small-eared galago)
Lineage: Eukaryota; Metazoa; Chordata; Mammalia; Primates; Galagidae
Source: Ensembl